This 250-nucleotide unclassified non-coding RNA is filed under the name Hevea brasiliensis (rubber tree). The record is from RNAcentral. Lineage: Eukaryota; Viridiplantae; Streptophyta; Magnoliopsida; Malpighiales; Euphorbiaceae.
GCAGCAGUCUCAUUAAACUUUGCCCGCAAAUCAGGAUGCAAGGGAAGAAAUGCAACGUGGGGAUUGGAUGAGUCGUUAUUGAGUGUGUAGUCCCACCACUUAUCCCAUGGUAAAACAUCAAUAAUAUCAUCCUCCACUCCAUUUCCACGCCCAGAUUCAGCAACCCACAACUUUCCUUCAGAGUCCCUUAAGAAAACAGCAGAAUGACCGGCAUAUGAUCCAGUAACCCACUUCUGUAGAGUCUCAAAAG